UUGUCUGUAUGUAUGUGGCAGAACUUGAGAGAGAUGCUUACCCUGUUCUUGAUGAACUUGCCAUGAGUGUUAGCACGAGGAACCUUUAACACGUGAAAAGGCUUCACAUACCAGAUCCUGGUGGCACCUGAAGAUCUCGAUUCUCGACAUCUUCUUGCAGCUUUCAACUGCAAAUGUCACUCGGAGAAUUACUUUCCCAUAUUCAGGUGCCUUUGCUGCGAUUAGACAUUUAGACACAGGAUCAGGCAAGUUUAUGAGAUAGUCGAGUCUUCAACAGAUGAGGAUUUUGGUGUUCCAACACUACGGAUUCAUGAUAGAGUUCUAGUUAAACAGGAGUCAGAGAAUCACCUUUCUGUGCAUUGGAUAGCGGGUCCUAUUAGUGAUAUGGUCUCAGACUCUGUUGUUACAUUGGUUUUAAAUGCAAACCGAGAAAUGCCAAAGUUGGUUGUGGAAUCAGAACCUGUGGUAAAUGGAGAGGAAGAUGCAAAGAAAACUGAGAAAAUUAUUCACACACUGUUGGUCUCAUUGUUUGGUGAUGUAAAACUUGGGGAGAAUGGCAAAUUCGUUAUAAAUGUCGAUGGGAACAUAGCGGAACUUGACAAACAGAUUGGUGAUGUUGAAACUGAAAAUGAUGGCCUCAAGGAACAAGUUAAAACAGCAUUUAGGCGAAUCACUAGUGCUGCGAAGCCCAUCCCAUUCUCAUCACCUUAGAUUAAGCGCAUAUGACUUUCAGAGCAGCAAAUCCUGCCUCUUUUGCCAGGGCUUCAAAUUGUCUCUGUGUUCUCUCCUUCCCUCCAGGAUUCAUCGUCAUCAUGAGUAUGUCAGCGUAAAAUGCACAACCAUACGCGACAUCUUUCUCAGGAUGUUCCGGCAGUAUACCAUCUACUAACACCACCUUACCAGAUUCUGGCAAAGCUUUCCAACAGUUCUUCAGCAGCUUCAGACAAUGUUCAUCAUCCCAAUCGUUUAGUAUCCACUGCAGUUUUCAGAACAAUUUGCUUAGAUAUUGUGUAUAACAAAGAUACCAUCAUUUUCUUCUUUUUUCGCAAGUUGUCUUUACACUAGUAUAUUUUACUGAGGAAUGAGCACUAACCUUCAUGAA
Ipomoea nil (Japanese morning glory) is the source of this 1102-nucleotide long non-coding RNA. RefSeq lists it as uncharacterized. The transcript has 2 exons. Lineage: Eukaryota; Viridiplantae; Streptophyta; Magnoliopsida; Solanales; Convolvulaceae. The record is from RefSeq and is a predicted model, not a curated record.